Non-coding RNA from Xyrichtys novacula (pearly razorfish), 1772 nucleotides. NCBI's taxonomy places the organism in Eukaryota, Metazoa, Chordata, Actinopteri, Labriformes, Labridae. The record is from the annotation of a GenBank genome assembly.
UCAGACGGAGCUUUAGAGGUGUAUUUUAAAAAACUGCUCAUCCCUCCUGAAAGAUCUGUCAUCUGUGGAGUCUGUAUAUUUCCAGCCCAAGACGCACCCACACACAGACAGUGACAGAGACAAGAGGCAGACAGAGGACGAGACUGGCAAGGAGGCUGGAGGAUUUACAGUAUGUUAUGUUCCAUUUCCAGGUUUGAAAUGUUGAGCUAAAUCAUUCUGCCGGAGGAGAGCAUUGUUCAGAUUUCUUAUGUAACAUGGAAAUCUCAGUCUGCAAAUUGGGACUGGGUCCAAAGGGGAUCAAAUCAAGACAUCACAGAGUUUAAAUGUGAACGUCUAUCAAACAGAUUUCUCAUAUUCAGUCGAACAUUGCUCCAGUUUUUCUUUUUUAACUAAGUCGAAAUCCUUGGCCUCUUGCCUGUCUCCUGCUGUUUCAGUAAUUUAGCUGUCUAGUGUGUUUGGUCUUUGAAUCUCAGAGUUUGUUUUUUUUAGACUUUGUCGAGUUUCUCUUGAGUAUCCAGCGCUUAUUGCCCACCUUUUCCUUGAAUUUAUCAAGCGAACUAAAGCUGAUGUUAUUCUUACCUACAUUUGCUGACUCAUAUGACCCAUUUGCUAUCUUGCUUUUGUCAUAAUGCCUCAGUUCACAAAGGAGCUGACCACCCAAGCUGAUGUAGUGUAACUUUCACUCUCGGUGGACUCAGAGCCGAAGGCAGGGACUUUUUAUGAUCCGUAAUACAUACUGAGAGCACCUUAACUUGAUGAAAUUUCCAGGUUAUUGCCACCGGAUAAGUCUUGUUGCUCGAAGGCUUUAGACUUCAGGAACUGUGGUAAUCUGCGUCUCGGCUGCAGGAGAGGAUUGUUCACAAAUAUUGAGCUUUUCAUAUUUCAAGGAUUCCACUAGCAUUGUGCUGGAAGGUGGAUUUUUGCUUUAAGAGACAAUUUUUUGGUUUAAUCCCACCGAGUGGCUCAAGAGAUAUCUGAUUUAAAGUUGCAUUAGCUACCUUCUGCCAAUCCUCUUUUACAUUUCCAAGGUUUGUUUUUUUUUUUUCUCUUCUCUCCAAAUCUCCACACAAGUACUCCUUCACAUAUCCCCAUGAAAGAAACCCAUGCCGGUCUGAAGUAGAGAUCCCCCACUGUACGCUCCGCAGAGCUUUUUCUGUUGUGAGGCAUGAAAAAAACAACAUCCUCCAUGUUCCACUCAGACUGUAGCUUUGAUAAAUGGUGGUGGCCACGAAAGCAGCGCUCCCGCUUAUUCAAGAGAAUCAAACUGAAACAUGAGAACAACACUAGUUUCCUCUUAAAGUGAUUGAUGUCACGUUCUGUUUUGCUCUUGCAUUUUUCCCAUAUGAGCCCAUAAAGGACACAAAAUCAACAAAGAACGGACAAAAUCAAUAUUUCCAUGAACACGGACGUGCUUGGAAUAACCGUCAGCUCUUUAUUUUGGAUGAUUUCGGUGCUGCUCAGCUCGCUAACUCGCGCUAAAACAGGAAAAUGAAGCCUUUGAUGAGACGAAAACAAGAACCUACUAUCAUCGAGUGCCGCCUCUGUAAUCUCCAGCUCAUUAUGAUUUAAAUAGAAACGCAAACCACAUCAAAUGCUAUUUUUGUGAUGCUAGCUGAGUGUAGGUUUAUCCUUGUUUCCUGUUUGGUUCUGGCCCUCCUGAGGCGGGUUUACGGGCACCGCUGGGGUAUUUGGAGUGCUCAAACCAUAUUUUGUCAUCUCUCCUUAAUUCAUCAUCAGAGCAGGUGUUCCUGUCUGGGGUUUGCCUCCAUGGG